CCUACGGGAGGCAGCAGUGGGGAAUUUUGGACAAUGGGCGCAAGCCUGAUCCAGCAAUGCCGCGUGAGUGAAGAAGGCCUUCGGGUUGUAAAGCUCUUUUGUCAGGGAAGAAACGGUGGGGGCUAAUAUCUCCUACUAAUGACGGUACCUGAAGAAUAAGCACCGGCUAACUACGUGCCAGCAGCCGCGGUAAUACGUAGGGUGCAAGCGUUAAUCGGAAUUACUGGGCGUAAAGCGUGCGCAGGCGGUUUUGUAAGUCUGUCGUGAAAGCCCCGGGCUCAACCUGGGAAUUGCGAUGGAGACUGCAAGGCUUGAAUCUGGCAGAGGGGGGUAGAAUUCCACGUGUAGCAGUGAAAUGCGUAGAGAUGUGGAGGAACACCGAUGGCGAAGGCAGCCCCCUGGGUCAAGAUUGACGCUCAUGCACGAAAGCGUGGGGAGCAAACAGGAUUAGAUACCCUGGUAGUCCACGCCCUAAACGAUGUCUACUAGUUGUCGGGUUUUAAUUAACUUGGUAACGCAGCUAACGCGUGAAGUAGACCGCCUGGGGAGUACGGUCGCAAGAUUAAAACUUCAAAUGUUAGUUAGAGNGNGNGNGNGCGAGACGACGACGAGGAGAGG
RNAcentral lists this ribosomal RNA (618 nucleotides) under uncultured bacterium. Its description in RNAcentral is "bacterial SSU rRNA". It matches the Rfam family "Bacterial small subunit ribosomal RNA", at positions 338 to 946 of the family's 1533-position model. The record is from RNAcentral.